Molecule: ribosomal RNA, 420 nt
Filed under: uncultured eukaryote
Lineage: Eukaryota
Description: SSU rRNA
Rfam family: Eukaryotic small subunit ribosomal RNA
Source: RNAcentral
CAAGAGCGUAUAUUAAAGUUGUUGCAGUUAAAAAGCUCGUAGUUGGAUUUCUGGUACAACGCGCCUGGCCCGCUUUUGUGAGUGCCGGUGCGCGUUUGCCAUCCUUCUAGAAAACGUUUCUACCCGGGUAACUGGGCCGGACUCGCGAUCUAGAUCUUUACUUGAAAAAAUUAGAGUGUUUAAAGCAGGCUUUUGCUGUGAAUACAUUAGCAUGGAAUAAUGAUCUAGGACUUCGGUUCUAUUUUGUUGGUUUCUAGUACUGAAGUAAUGAUUGAUAGGGAUAGUUGGGGGUGCUAGUAUUGGCCGGCCAGAGGUGAAAUUCUUGGAUUCGGUCAAGACUAACUUAUGCGAAAGCAUUCACCAAGGAUGUCUUCUUUAAUCAAGAACGAAAGUUGGGGGAUCGAAGACGAUCAGAUACCA